This 497-nucleotide ribosomal RNA is filed under the name uncultured bacterium. Its description in RNAcentral is "partial 16S ribosomal RNA". It matches the Rfam family "Bacterial small subunit ribosomal RNA", at positions 28 to 507 of the family's 1533-position model. The record is from RNAcentral.
GAUGAACGCUGGCGGCGUGCCUAAUACAUGCAAGUCGAGCGAACGGACGAGAAGCUUGCUUCUCUGAUGUUAGCGGCGGACGGGUGAGUAACACGUGGAUAACCUACCUAUAAGACUGGGAUAACUUCGGGAAACCGGAGCUAAUACCGGAUGAUAUUUUGAACCGCAUGGUUCAAAAGUGAAAGACGGUCUUGCUGUCACUUAUAGAUGGAUCCGCGCUGCAUUAGCUAGUUGGUAAGGUAACGGCUUACCAAGGCAACGAUGCAUAGCCGACCUGAGAGGGUGAUCGGCAAAACGGGAACUGAGACAAGGACCAGACACCUACGGGAGGCAGCAGAAGGGAAUCUUCCGCAAUGGGCGAAAGCCUGACGGAGCAACGCCGCGUGAGUGAUGAAGGACUUCGGAUCGUAAAACUAUGUUAUUAGGGAAGAACAUAUGUGUAAGUAACUGUGCACAGCUUGACGGUACCGAAACAGAAAGCCACGGCUAACUACGUG